This 399-nucleotide ribosomal RNA is filed under the name Triticum aestivum (bread wheat). RNAcentral's name for it is "partial small subunit ribosomal RNA". Lineage: Eukaryota; Viridiplantae; Streptophyta; Magnoliopsida; Poales; Poaceae. The record is from RNAcentral.
AUGCUUGAUCUUAAUGAGUUGCGCCCUGAUCUCAAUGAGCUUCCUCAUGAUAUGGAUCAGCAGCAACCCAACAUACAACAAGGAAAUUGGGCAGAAAGUGGUCGAUCUGUUUACUACACGCAGGCAAGUCGUGAUGGUAACCCUACGAGCCAUGACAAUGUGGCAGGUCAGUCAUUAGCCCGUGGUGCCCCUGUAAUGGUGUCUUUGCAGUCAGAGAGUCAUACUCUUGAUCACACGGGAACCGAGGCAAAUGUUCCUGUUGGGGAACGUAGCAGAAUUUUAAAAUUUCUACGCAUCACCAAGAUCAAUCUAUGGAGUCAUCUAGCAACGAGGGAUAGGGGAGUGCAUCUACAUACCCUUGUAGAUCGCGAGCGAAAGCGUUCAAGAGAACGGGGUUGA